UUUGGGUCCACCCUCCUUUUAGAUGCAGACAGCCCCAGAGUUUGAUCCUGGCUCAGGCUGGAUCACCUCCUUCUAGACUGCAGAAAGCUCCAGAGUUUGAUCCUGGCUAAUACUGGGGCAUAGCCCGGAGAAAUGCAGGAUUGACCCCCCAUGGUAUGUAAAAGUGGCAUCACUUUUACAUUAAAAUUACGGUGGUAAUAGAUGAUUUUGCGUCCCAUUAGUUAGUUGGUAAGGUAACGGCUUACCAAGGCAGCGAUGGGUAGGGGUCCUGAGAGGGAGAUCCCCCACACUGGUACUGAGACACGGACCAGACUCCUACGGGAGGCAGCAGUGAGGAAUAUUGGACAAUGGAGGCAACUCUGAUCCAGCCAUGCCGCGUGCAGGAAGACUGCCCUAUGGGUUGUAAACUGCUUUUACAGAGGAAGAACCGCACCCACGUGUGGGUGUUUGACGGUACUCUGCGAAUAAGGAUCGGCUAACUCCGUGCCAGCAGCCGCGGUAAUACGGAGGAUCCAAGCGUUAUCCGGAAUCAUUGGGUUAAAGGGUCCGAGGCGGGACAAUAAGUCAGUGGUGAAAGUCUGCAGCUAACUGUAGACUGCAUUGAAACUGUAGUCCUGAGUAUUAU
This 625-nucleotide ribosomal RNA is filed under the name uncultured Antarctic soil bacterium. Its description in RNAcentral is "bacterial SSU rRNA". It matches the Rfam family "Bacterial small subunit ribosomal RNA", at positions 65 to 651 of the family's 1533-position model. The record is from RNAcentral.